Lycium ferocissimum is the source of this 561-nucleotide long non-coding RNA. RefSeq lists it as uncharacterized. The transcript is spliced from 3 exons. Lineage: Eukaryota; Viridiplantae; Streptophyta; Magnoliopsida; Solanales; Solanaceae. The record is from RefSeq and is a predicted model, not a curated record.
UUUUUGUUUUGCAUAAAUCAUCAAAGACAAUAACUUCCGAAGGAAUAAUUUUCCUUUUCCAAAGUCGAUGGCAAUUAAGAACUUCAAAUUUUUUUCUCUUUCCCUUUGCUUUCUUUCAUUUUUUCCCUAGCCUAUGCUAAAAAAGUUUCCCACCUUUAGCUGUAUUAUUAGACUUAUGCUUGAUUUUUUUUGUUUGUAAGCUAUUUGAAUUAUUUUAUUCAUUUGCCACCAGAUUCUCAUUAAUUGUUUUCUGUACCAUUUCAGAUAUGGAGCUUAAACCCAACAUUUGUCUACGUCAAUAUUGAUUUUGAAAUCACCAGCUGAAAGGGGUGGAUGCAAAUGUUGCGAUUUUCCAAUAAUGAAGACAGCGGCUGAGGAGAGGAAGUCAACCGUGAGUGAGGAAGCUCCGCAGAGAAGAAGCCAUUGAUAUGGAGGUAAAUGCUGUCCAAGAUGAUGCAUAAAGGCUAGCCAGAUGUUAUGAUUGACAAUUGCUUUGCCAAGAGAUCAUUUGAUGAAUGCAAAGACGGGCAAUAUUUUAAGUUAGAUUAGUUGAAAUCUUAA